This 491-nucleotide ribosomal RNA is filed under the name uncultured bacterium. Its description in RNAcentral is "bacterial SSU rRNA". It matches the Rfam family "Bacterial small subunit ribosomal RNA", at positions 29 to 507 of the family's 1533-position model. The record is from RNAcentral.
AACAAACGCUGGCGGCGUGUCUUAAGCAUGCAAGUUGAGCGGCAAGGAGGAGAGAUCCUCCCUAGAGCGGCGGACUGGUGAGUAACGCGUGGGUAAUCUAUCGUAGGCAUGGGGAUAGUCACUAGAAAUAGUGGGUAAUACCGAAUACGUUCCAUGAGGGGAGUAUUCAUGGAAGAAAGGGUGCUACGGCACUGGCCUUAGGUGAGCUCGCGUCCCAUUAGCUAGUUGGUGAGGUAAAGGCCCACCAAGGCGAUGAUGGGUAGCCGGCCUGAGAGGGUGUACGGCCACACUGGGACUGAGAUACGGCCCAGACUCCUACGGGAGGCAGCAGCUAAGAAUAUUCCGCAAUGGACGAAAGUCUGACGGAGCGACGCCGCGUGGAUGAAGAAGGCCGAAAGGUUGUAAAGUUCUUUUGCUAGGGGAGAAUAAGCGAGGGAGGGAAUGCCCUCAUGAUGACAAGGACUAGCGAAUAAGCCCCGGCCAACUACGUG